UACGGAGGAUGCGAGCGUUAUCCGGAUUUAUUGGGUUUAAAGGGUGCGUAGGCGGCCUGCCAAGUCAGCGGUAAAAUUGCGGUGCUCAACGCCGUCGAGCCGUUGAAACUGGCGUUCUUGAGUGGGCGAGAAGUAUGCGGAAUGCGUGGUGUAGCGGUGAAAUGCAUAGAUAUCACGCAGAACUCCGAUUGCGAAGGCAGCAUACCGGCGCCCUACUGACGCUGAGGCACGAAAGCGUGGGUAUCGAACAGG
This 252-nucleotide ribosomal RNA is filed under the name uncultured bacterium. Its description in RNAcentral is "partial 16S ribosomal RNA". It matches the Rfam family "Bacterial small subunit ribosomal RNA", at positions 524 to 776 of the family's 1533-position model. The record is from RNAcentral.